GCCAAUAAAUAAUGGGAGAACAUUCAGACCGCAACCUCGCCAACCAAAUGUAUGGCAUUCGUUCCAGUAUAAGGCUGGAAGGGCGAUACCUUUCAACGAGAUGACUAGAACCCAACAAAGGCGUUUUCAACGGAACUAUGGGCGAAUGAUAAGGCAACAACAGGGAAUGCUACGUCCUAAGGCACUUAGACCACUCGAGGCAG
RNAcentral lists this long non-coding RNA (203 nucleotides) under Olea europaea (common olive). Its description in RNAcentral is "long non-coding RNA (OEUR_LNC002129)". The record is from RNAcentral. Lineage: Eukaryota; Viridiplantae; Streptophyta; Magnoliopsida; Lamiales; Oleaceae.